AGAUGGACCCGCGGCGCAUUAGCUAGUUGGUGGGGUAAUGGCUCACCAAGGCGACGAUGCGUAGCCGACCUGAGAGGGUGAUCGGCCACACUGGGACUGAGACACGGCCCAGACUCCUACGGGAGGCAGCAGUAGGGAAUCUUCCGCAAUGGACGAAAGUCUGACGGAGCAACGCCGCGUGAGUGAUGAAGGUUUUCGGAUCGUAAAGCUCUGUUGUUAGGGAAGAACAAGUGCGAGAGUAACUGCUCGCACCUUGACGGUACCUAACCAGAAAGCCACGGCUAACUACGUGCCAGCAGCCGCGGUAAUACGUAGGUGGCAAGCGUUGUCCGGAAUUAUUGGGCGUAAAGGGCUCGCAGGCGGUUUCUUAAGUCUGAUGUGAAAGCCCCCGGCUCAACCGGGGAGGGUCAUUGGAAACUGGGAAACUUGAGUGCAGAAGAGGAGAGUGGAAUUCCACGUGUAGCGGUGAAAUGCGUAGAGAUGUGGAGGAACACCAGUGGCGAAGGCGACUCUCUGGUCUGUAACUGACGCUGAGGAGCGAAAGCGUGGGGAGCGAACAGGAUUAGAUACCCUGGUAGUCCACGCCGUAAACGAUGAGUGCUAAGUGUUAGGGGGUUUCCGCCCCUUAGUGCUGCAGCUAACGCAUUAAGCACUCCGCCUGGGGAGUACGGUCGCAAGACUGAAACUCAAAGGAAUUGACGGGGGCCCGCACAAGCGGUGGAGCAUGUGGUUUAAUUCGAAGCAACGCGAAGAACCUUACCAGGUCUUGACAUCCUCUGACAACCCUAGAGAUAGGGCUUUCCCUUCGGGGACAGAGUGACAGGUGGUGCAUGGUUGUCGUCAGCUCGUGUCGUGAGAUGUUGGGUUAAGUCCCGCAACGAGCGCAACCCUUGAUCUUAGUUGCCAGCAUUCAGUUGGGCACUCUAAGGUGACUGCCGGUGACAAACCGGAGGAAGGUGGGGAUGACGUCAAAUCAUCAUGCCCCUUAUGACCUGGGCUACACACGUGCUACAAUGGACAGAACAAAGGGCUGCAAGACCGCAAGGUUUAGCCAAUCCCAUAAAUCUGUUCUCAGUUCGGAUCGCAGUCUGCAACUCGACUGCGUGAAGCUGGAAUCGCUAGUAAUCGCGGAUCAGCAUGCCGCGGUGA
This 1149-nucleotide ribosomal RNA is filed under the name Bacillus safensis. Its description in RNAcentral is "bacterial SSU rRNA". It matches the Rfam family "Bacterial small subunit ribosomal RNA", at positions 223 to 1365 of the family's 1533-position model. Lineage: Bacteria; Bacillati; Bacillota; Bacilli; Caryophanales; Bacillaceae. The record is from RNAcentral.